Molecule: ribosomal RNA, 606 nt
Filed under: Triticum aestivum (bread wheat)
Lineage: Eukaryota; Viridiplantae; Streptophyta; Magnoliopsida; Poales; Poaceae
Description: partial small subunit ribosomal RNA
Source: RNAcentral
AUGGUGCAGAAAAAUAACAACUUCAAAUGGGAGUUGCUUGUCGUAUAUGGUCCCGCGGAUCAUGCUAGAUCACUAGAUUUUUUGAGGGAAUUGUGUAGAAAAAUUACGUCUUCACCAAAUCUGAUGGUUAUUGGAGGGGAUUUCAAUCUUAUUAGAUCAACCGAAGAUAAGAGUAAUCAUAGCAUUAACAACCCAGGCUUGGUCGAAAAUUUCAAUGAUUGGGUGGCGGACCUCCAACUUCUCGAGCUUCAACGUGGGGGAGCUCAUUUCACUUGGACGAAUAACCAGGACAACCCUGUGUGGUGUGUCUUAGAUCGGGUUUUGUAUCCACGGAGUGUGAAGCCAAGUUUCCCGCGUGCUCUCUCAUGGCCGAGAUGCAUCUUGGAUCGGACCACUGCCCCCUCAUCUUGCAAUAUGGGGAAGAAAUUCGUCGACCACCAAGGAGAUUCUUCUUUGAACGUCAGUGGUUAUUGCAACCGGUGUUUGCUGAGAGGAUGGUGUCAAUUUGGGUGGCAGCAAGGGCAAAUCGCCCGCAUAGACAUGGCCCUCUUUGUGAUGCGCUGGACGAAUGGCAGCACUGCAUCCGGAGAUCGCGUCAUCACUUGA